Molecule: ribosomal RNA, 869 nt
Filed under: uncultured archaeon
Lineage: Archaea
Description: bacterial SSU rRNA
Rfam family: Archaeal small subunit ribosomal RNA
Source: RNAcentral
CCGCUAUUGGAGUUCGAUUAAGCCAUGCGAGUCGCGAGAAAUUAGAUUCUCGGCGUACCGCUCAGUAACACGUGGGUAACCUGCCCUAUGCUGGAUAAUAACCUCGGGAAACUGAGUAUAAUGAUCCAUAGUUCACUACGCCUGGAACGGUGAGUGGAUGAAAGCUCCGGCGGCAUAGGAUGGGCCUGCGGCGUAUCAGGUAGUAGGGGGUGUAACGUACCCUCUAGCCCUCUACGCGUACGGGUGUUGGGAGACAUAGCCCGGAGAUGGAUUCUGAGACACGAAUCCAGACCCUACGGGGUGCAGCAGGCGCGAAAACUUGGCAAUGCGAGAAAUCGUGACCAGGGAACUCCAAGUGCAUCGGGUAAGACCGGUGCUUUUCUUGACUCUAAAUAGGUCUUGGAAUAAGGGGUGGGUAAGGACGGUGCCAGCCGCCGCGGUAAUACCGGCGCCUCAAGUGGUAGUCGCUUUUAUUGGGCCUAAAACGUCCGUAGCCGGUCUGAUACAUUCGUGGGUAAAUCAACCAGCUCAACUGGUUGAAUUCUGCGAGGACGGUCAGACUUGGGACCGGGAGAGGUGUGGGGUACGCUCAGGGUAGGGGUAAAAUCCUGUCAUCCUGAGCGGACCACCUGUUGCGAAGGCGCCACACUAGAACGGAUCCGACGGUCAGGGACGAAGCCUAGGGGCGCGAACCGGAUUAGAUACCCGGGUAGUCCUAGGUGUAAACGCUGUGGACUUGAUGUUGGGGGUGCUCCGAGCACUCUCAGUGUCGAAGCGAAGGUGAUAAGUCCACUGCCUGGGAAGUACGGUCGCAAGGCUGAAACUUAAAGGAAUUGGCGGGGGAGCACCGCAACCUGAGGAUUGUGCGG